This is a long non-coding RNA of Gasterosteus aculeatus aculeatus (three-spined stickleback), 1447 nucleotides long. NCBI's taxonomy places the organism in Eukaryota, Metazoa, Chordata, Actinopteri, Perciformes, Gasterosteidae. The record is from Ensembl.
UGAAGUUUAUUUUCAAGGAACAGAACAACCUCAUUUUCAUUAACCAAGGACACAAUUCUGAGGUCCCCAAACUGGACACCUCCCUUUCCCUGGAAAUCCAUCUCAUGACAAACCAAUUGGUGACAAGGGACCACCACAGCGGAGACUCACACUUUGUCUUGGGAUACCAAGAUUUAUUAUAAUAUCACCUGCACAACAGUCCGAGCCAAGCAGUGCUUUCAUCAAAUAAAAGUUUCAGGUCAAAACCCUGAAACCUGUGAUCUCGAUAUUCAUUGUGUUUGGAUCAGAUAAACCAUCACUUGAUGUGGUACUUUUGUAAAAAGAGAUCUAUUGAAGAGAUUAUAGGAUACAGAGUUUAUUACAAUCUGACAAGUCAAUAAAACCUCUCAAUUGGAAGGAGUCUGUAGAACCUCCAGCGUUGCGAUGUCUGAAACACAAAUUAAAUGUCACGUCAAAAAGGCAAUCUAUUUGAAAUCACAAAGCAGAGUAAAGUCACAUACCUUUCCCAUUGCUGCUCUGGAAUUGAUUGAAGACCAUAUCAAUUCUCAAUGUUACUACCAUUUGUGGAGCUCCUUGGGGAAAAUUUGUAUAGUUCAUGUUUGUAGAAUGGCUGUGGAGGCACCUGCCAUAUCUGCAGCUACUGGGGCACAGCCGACAGGUAGGUGGCUUUUGGGGCCAUCAUCCAAACUUUACUUAUUUCAGCCACAAUAGUAACAACCGGUUGGUUGCACCUGUGGCUGCUACUGUUGGGUAGGUUAGCCAGCCUGCUAGGCUACCUGAGCCAGAAAGUAGCUAGCCUGCUGCUGCAGCGGCAGCAGCCACUGCAGGAGAGGAUAGCCAGGAGGCCGGGGCACCAGGGGCCAUUGCUGCUUCCGCCGUUGCAGGAGAGGAUAGCCAGGAGCCUUUGGCGCCUGGGGCCGCUGCAGGAGAGGAUAGCCAGGAGCCAUGGGCGCCUGGGGCCGCUGCUGCUGCUGCUGCUGCAGGAGAGGAUAGCCAGGAGCCAUGGGCGCCUGGGGCCGCUGCUGCUGCUGCUGCAGGAGAGGAUAGCCAGGAGCCAUGGGCGCCUGGGGCCGCUGCUGCUGCUGCUGCAGGAGAGGAUAGCCAGGAGCCAUGGGCGCCUGGGGCCGCUGCUGCUGCUGCUGCAGGAGAGGAUAGCCAGGAGCCAUGGGCGCCUGGGGCCGCUGCUGCUGCUGCAGGAGAGGAUAGCCAGGAGCCAUGGGCGCCUGGGGCCGCUGCUGCUGCUGCUGCUGCUGCUGCAGGGGAGGAUAGCCAGGAGCCAUGGGCGCCUGGGGCCGCUGCUGCUGCUGCAGGGGAGGAUAGCCAGGAGCCAUGGGCGCCUGGGGCCGCUGCUGCAGGGGAGGACACCAAGUGUGGCGGUGCGCCUGAGGAUGCUGCAGCUUUGGCAAAUAGGGACAGCCAGAAUGCCGGGGUUUCUUCUGCUGGAGCU